UACAGAGGGGGCAAGCGUUGUUCGGAAUUACUGGGCGUAAAGGGCGCGUAGGCGGCCUUCUAAGUCGAACGUGAAAUCCCCGGGCUCAACCCGGGAACUGCGUCCGAUACUGGAAGGCUUGAAUCCGGGAGAGGGAUGCGGAAUUCCCAGUGUAGAGGUGAAAUUCGUAGAUAUUGGGAAGAACACCAGCGGCGAAGGCGGCUCACUGGCCCGUAACUGACGCUGAGGCGCGAAAGCGUGGGGAGCAAACCGG
Molecule: ribosomal RNA, 253 nt
Filed under: uncultured bacterium
Lineage: Bacteria
Description: partial 16S ribosomal RNA
Rfam family: Bacterial small subunit ribosomal RNA
Source: RNAcentral